GAGCAUUUCUCUUUGCUGUUCUCCUACAUUUCAAGCAUAUCUACCUCUAUGUAGCACCAGCUUAUGGUGUAUAUCUGCUGCGAUCCUACUGUUUCACUGCAAAUAAACCAGAUGGGUCUAUUCGAUGGAAGAGUUUCAGCUUUGUUCGUGUUAUUUCCCUGGGACUGGUUGUUUUCUUAGUUUCUGCUCUUUCAUUGGGUCCUUUCCUGGCCUUGAAUCAGCUGCCUCAAGUCUUUUCCCGACUCUUUCCUUUCAAGAGGGGCCUCUGUCAUGCAUAUUGGGCUCCAAACUUCUGGGCUUUGUACAAUGCUUUGGACAAAGUGCUGUCUGUCAUCGCCCUCUAUUUUCUGUCUUUGGUUUAAACCCCAAGGGCCCAGAGGCUUUCUCCGAUGUCUAACUCUUUGUGCCUUGAGCUCCUUUAUGUUUGGGUGGCAUGUUCAUGAAAAAGCCAUACUUCUAGCAAUUCUCCCAAU
This 473-nucleotide long non-coding RNA is filed under the name Homo sapiens (human). RNAcentral's name for it is "non-protein coding lnc-NDUFC2-1:3". The record is from RNAcentral. Lineage: Eukaryota; Metazoa; Chordata; Mammalia; Primates; Hominidae.